RNAcentral lists this ribosomal RNA (444 nucleotides) under Escherichia coli. RNAcentral's name for it is "bacterial SSU rRNA". It matches the Rfam family "Bacterial small subunit ribosomal RNA", at positions 276 to 712 of the family's 1533-position model. Lineage: Bacteria; Pseudomonadati; Pseudomonadota; Gammaproteobacteria; Enterobacterales; Enterobacteriaceae. The record is from RNAcentral.
ACGAUCCCUAGCUGGUCUGAGAGGAUGACCAGCCACACUGGAACUGAGACACGGUCCAGACUCCUACGGGAGGCAGCAGUGGGGAAUAUUGCACAAUGGGCGCAAGCCUGAUGCAGCCAUGCCGCGUGUAUGAAGAAGGCCUUCGGGUUGUAAAGUACUUUCAGCGGGGAGGAAGGGAGUAAAGUUAAUACCUUUGCUCAUUGACGUUACCCGCAGAAGAAGCACCGGCUAACUCCGUGCCAGCAGCCGCGGUAAUACGGAGGGUGCAAGCGUUAAUCGGAAUUACUGGGCGUAAAGCGCACGCAGGCGGUUUGUUAAGUCAGAUGUGAAAUCCCCGGGCUCAACCUGGGAACUGCAUCUGAUACUGGCAAGCUUGAGUCUCGUAGAGGGGGGUAGAAUUCCAGGUGUAGCGGUGAAAUGCGUAGAGAUCUGGAGGAAUACCGG